AGAGUUUGAUCCUGGCUCAGGAUGAACGCUGGCGGCGUGCCUAAUACAUGCAAGUCGAGCGAAUGGAUUAAGAGCUUGCUCUUAUGAAGUUAGCGGCGGACGGGUGAGUAACACGUGGGUAACCUGCCCAUAAGACUGGGAUAACUCCGGGAAACCGGGGCUAAUACCGGAUAACAUUUUGCACCGCAUGGUGCGAAAUUGAAAGGCGGCUUCGGCUGUCACUUAUGGAUGGACCCGCGUCGCAUUAGCUAGUUGGUGAGGUAACGGCUCACCAAGGCAACGAUGCGUAGCCGACCUGAGAGGGUGAUCGGCCACACUGGGACUGAGACACGGCCCAGACUCCUACGGGAGGCAGCAGUAGGGAAUCUUCCGCAAUGGACGAAAGUCUGACGGAGCAACGCCGCGUGAGUGAUGAAGGCUUUCGGGUCGUAAAACUCUGUUGUUAGGGAAGAACAAGUGCUAGUUGAAUAAGCUGGCACCUUGACGGUACCUAACCAGAAAGCCACGGCUAACUACGUGCCAGCAGCCGCGGUAAUACGUAGGUGGCAAGCGUUAUCCGGAAUUAUUGGGCGUAAAGCGCGCGCAGGUGGUUUCUUAAGUCUGAUGUGAAAGCCCACGGCUCAACCGUGGAGGGUCAUUGGAAACUGGGAGACUUGAGUGCAGAAGAGGAAAGUGGAAUUCCAUGUGUAGCGGUGAAAUGCGUAGAGAUAUGGAGGAACACCAGUGGCGAAGGCGACUUUCUGGUCUGUAACUGACACUGAGGCGCGAAAGCGUGGGGAGCAAACAGGAUUAGAUACCCCAGUAGUCC
RNAcentral lists this ribosomal RNA (808 nucleotides) under uncultured bacterium. Its description in RNAcentral is "bacterial SSU rRNA". It matches the Rfam family "Bacterial small subunit ribosomal RNA", at positions 8 to 796 of the family's 1533-position model. The record is from RNAcentral.